UGUUUUGUGGCGUUUUCUCUUUUUCAGAGUUGAACAAUGUCCGACCACCAACACGUGCCCGCAUGUCCCAGAGCCCACUGGAGAGUAAAGGCAACCUGACGUACGCCGUCUUAAUGGGAGCAGCCUUCGUUGGUACUCUGACACUCAUUAUGACCGUAAAAGGAGACAAUCAAAGAAAUGCGAAACGUAUGGAAGAGAUCUCAACCAGUCUUCAAAGAUCAACCUCACACUUCGAGUCAGAGUCCCCGGGUGCCGCUGUUUCCAAGCCCAAGCCGAGCCCCCCCGCCUGAGGCAGCAGCACCUGAGGGUGAAGCAUCAGCUGCAGACCCCAGUGAAACCAGUGAGCCACCUACAGACGCCGCACCUCCCUCCCACAAGCUGCCCUCACACACCCCCUACUAGAGCUGGGCAAUAUGUUCAAAAUUUAAAUCACGGUAUUUUCAACAUUUUCACCGGUUUCACUGUAUUUGACGGUAUUUUUCUUUUCAUCGCAGCUGAACUGAUA
Molecule: RNA transcript, 505 nt
Organism: Austrofundulus limnaeus
Lineage: Eukaryota; Metazoa; Chordata; Actinopteri; Cyprinodontiformes; Rivulidae
Gene name: protein transport protein SEC31
Exons: 4
Source: RefSeq, a predicted model, not a curated record